This 760-nucleotide ribosomal RNA is filed under the name bacterium. Its description in RNAcentral is "bacterial SSU rRNA". It matches the Rfam family "Bacterial small subunit ribosomal RNA", at positions 34 to 811 of the family's 1533-position model. The record is from RNAcentral.
CGAAAGCCGCAGCCAAACUUGCAAGUUCGAAGCGGAUGAAGGGGAGCUUGCUCCUGGAUUAGCGGCGGACGGGUGAGUAAUGCCUAGGAAUCUGCCUGGUAGUGGGGGACAACGUUUCGAAAGGAACGCUAAUACCGCAUACGUCCUACGGGAGAAAGCAGGGGACCUUCGGGCCUCGCGCUAUCAGAUGAGCCUAGGUCGGAUUAGCUAGUUGGUGAGGUAAUGGCUCACCAAGGCGACGAUCCGUAACUGGUCUGAGAGGAUGAUCAGUCACACUGGAACUGAGACACGGUCCAGACUCCUACGGGAGGCAGCAGUGGGGAAUAUUGGACAAUGGGCGAAAGCCUGAUCCAGCCAUGCCGCGUGUGUGAAGAAGGUCUUCGGAUUGUAAAGCACUUUAAGUUGGGAGGAAGGGUUGUAGAUUAAUACUCUGCAAUUUUGACGUUACCGACAGAAUAAGCACCGGCUAACUCUGUGCCAGCAGCCGCGGUAAUACAGAGGGUGCAAGCGUUAAUCGGAUUACUGGGCGUAAGCGCGCGUAGGUGGUUCGUUAGUUGGAUGUGAAUCCCCGGGCUCACCUGGGAACUGCAUCCAAACUGGCGAGCUAGAGUAUGGUAGAGGGUGGUGGAAUCUCCUGUGUAGCGGUGGAAUGCGUAGAUAUAGGAAGGAACACCAGUGGCGAAGGCGACCACCUGGACUGAUACUGACACUGAGGUGCGAAAGCGUGGGGACAACAGAACUCCUCCUCGCGAAAGUAAUA